AAGUCGUAACAAGGUCUCCGUUGGUGAACCAGCGGAGGGAUCAUUACCGAGUUAUACAACUCCCAAACCCCCUGUGAACCUUACCACACGCGUUGCCUCGGCGGGACCGCCCCGGCGCCCUCGCGGCCCGGACCAAGGCGCCCGCCGGAGGACCACCAGACUCUCGUCGCAGUGGCAUUUCUCUCCGAGUCCAAACAAGCAAAAUGAAUCAAAACUUUCAACAACGGAUCUCUUGGUUCUG
This 241-nucleotide unclassified non-coding RNA is filed under the name Ophiocordyceps arborescens. RNAcentral describes it as "partial internal transcribed spacer region". The stretch from base 1 to 46 matches the Rfam family "Eukaryotic small subunit ribosomal RNA", at positions 1786 to 1831 of the family's 1831-position model. Lineage: Eukaryota; Fungi; Ascomycota; Sordariomycetes; Hypocreales; Ophiocordycipitaceae. The record is from RNAcentral.